RNAcentral lists this ribosomal RNA (765 nucleotides) under uncultured Streptococcus sp. RNAcentral describes it as "bacterial SSU rRNA". It matches the Rfam family "Bacterial small subunit ribosomal RNA", at positions 28 to 776 of the family's 1533-position model. The record is from RNAcentral. Lineage: Bacteria; Bacillati; Bacillota; Bacilli; Lactobacillales; Streptococcaceae.
GACGAACGCUGGCGGCGUGCCUAAUACAUGCAAGUAGAACGCUGAAGAGAGGAGCUUGCUCUUCUUGGAUGAGUUGCGAACGGGUGAGUAACGCGUAGGUAACCUGCCUUGUAGCGGGGGAUAACUAUUGGAAACGAUAGCUAAUACCGCAUAACAAUGGAUGACACAUGUCAUUUAUUUGAAAGGGGCAAUUGCUCCACUACAAGAUGGACCUGCGUUGUAUUAGCUAGUAGGUGAGGUAACGGCUCACCUAGGCGACGAUACAUAGCCGACCUGAGAGGGUGAUCGGCCACACUGGGACUGAGACACGGCCCAGACUCCUACGGGAGGCAGCAGUAGGGAAUCUUCGGCAAUGGGGGCAACCCUGACCGAGCAACGCCGCGUGAGUGAAGAAGGUUUUCGGAUCGUAAAGCUCUGUUGUAAGUCAAGAACGAGUGUGAGAGUGGAAAGUUCACACUGUGACGGUAGCUUACCAGAAAGGGACGGCUAACUACGUGCCAGCAGCCGCGGUAAUACGUAGGUCCCGAGCGUUGUCCGGAUUUAUUGGGCGUAAAGCGAGCGCAGGCGGUUAGAAAAGUCUGAAGUGAAAGGCAGUGGCUCAACCAUUGUAGGCUUUGGAAACUGUUUAACUUGAGUGCAGAAGGGGAGAGUGGAAUUCCAUGUGUAGCGGUGAAAUGCGUAGAUAUAUGGAGGAACACCGGUGGCGAAAGCGGCUCUCUGGUCUGUAACUGACGCUGAGGCUCGAAAGCGUGGGGAGCGAACAGG